This 460-nucleotide ribosomal RNA is filed under the name uncultured bacterium. Its description in RNAcentral is "bacterial SSU rRNA". It matches the Rfam family "Bacterial small subunit ribosomal RNA", at positions 1 to 507 of the family's 1533-position model. The record is from RNAcentral.
ACACUGUACGAGUUUGAUCCUGGCUCAGAACGACGCUGGCGGCAUGCCUAACACAUGCAAGUCGAACGAAGGCUUCGGCCUUAGUGGCGCACGGGUGCGUAACGCGUGGGAACCUGCCCCUCGGUUCGGUAUAACAGUUAGAAAUGACUGCUAAUACCGGAUGAUGACUUCGGUCCAAAGAUUUAUCGCCGAGGGAUGGGCCCGCGUAGGAUUAGCUAGUUGGUGGGGUAAAGGCCUACCAAGGCGACGAUCCUUAGCUGGUCUGAGAGGAUGAUCAGCCACACUGGGACUGAGACACGGCCCAGACUCCUACGGGAGGCAGCAGUGGGGAAUAUUGGACAAUGGGCGAAAGCCUGAUCCAGCAAUGCCGCGUGAGUGAUGAAGGCCUUAGGGUUGUAAAGCUCUUUUACCAGGGAUGAUAAUGACAGUACCUGGAGAAUAAGCUCCGGCUAACUCCGUG